Molecule: ribosomal RNA, 776 nt
Filed under: Bacillus anthracis (anthrax bacterium)
Lineage: Bacteria; Bacillati; Bacillota; Bacilli; Caryophanales; Bacillaceae
Description: bacterial SSU rRNA
Rfam family: Bacterial small subunit ribosomal RNA
Source: RNAcentral
AGUGCGGCGUGCUAAUACAUGCAAGUCGAGCGAAUGGAUUAAGAGCUUGCUCUUAUGAAGUUAGCGGCGGACGGGUGAGUAACACGUGGGUAACCUGCCCAUAAGACUGGGAUAACUCCGGGAAACCGGGGCUAAUACCGGAUAACAUUUUGAACCGCAUGGUUCGAAAUUGAAAGGCGGCUUCGGCUGUCACUUAUGGAUGGACCCGCGUCGCAUUAGCUAGUUGGUGAGGUAACGGCUCACCAAGGCAACGAUGCGUAGCCGACCUGAGAGGGUGAUCGGCCACACUGGGACUGAGACACGGCCCAGACUCCUACGGGAGGCAGCAGUAGGGAAUCUUCCGCAAUGGACGAAAGUCUGACGGAGCAACGCCGCGUGAGUGAUGAAGGCUUUCGGGUCGUAAAACUCUGUUGUUAGGGAAGAACAAGUGCUAGUUGAAUAAGCUGGCACCUUGACGGUACCUAACCAGAAAGCCACGGCUAACUACGUGCCAGCAGCCGCGGUAAUACGUAGGUGGCAAGCGUUAUCCGGAAUUAUUGGGCGUAAAGCGCGCGCAGGUGGUUUCUUAAGUCUGAUGUGAAAGCCCACGGCUCAACCGUGGAGGGUCAUUGGAAACUGGGAGACUUGAGUGCAGAAGAGGAAAGUGGAAUUCCAUGUGUAGCGGUGAAAUGCGUAGAGAUAUGGAGGAACACCAGUGGCGAAGGCGACUUUCUGGUCUGUAACUGACACUGAGGCGCGAAAGCGUGGGGAGCAAACAGGAUUAGAUACCUGGGUAG